GAGGAGAGCCUUCUUGGACCCACAGCCUCUGAAGACAGUUCUCCUGCUAGAGUCGGUGCCACCAGUCCUGCCAUUGCCACCUCAGCCUGGUCAAGGCCAGAAGUCCUUCUUGGGCUGAAGAGCAUUCAUCCCCUGAACCUGAGGACAAGGUGGGCGGUGGACGCCUCCCAUGGGAGCUGGAGGGACCCGAGAGCCUGCCGGACACUGUGUUUCUCACUUGGUUCUCCUUGGGGCCUUCAAAUUGGGUGUGGAAAUGUCCACCUCUAACCCUCAGAGGUGUUUGGAAGUACAGAUAUAAGUGGGCUUUAGGGAAAAUAUAAAGCUGUAUUCUGGUGCAAGAGA
This 342-nucleotide long non-coding RNA is filed under the name Marmota monax (woodchuck). The record is from RNAcentral. Lineage: Eukaryota; Metazoa; Chordata; Mammalia; Rodentia; Sciuridae.